RNAcentral lists this ribosomal RNA (70 nucleotides) under Microchloropsis salina. Its description in RNAcentral is "partial 5.8S ribosomal RNA". It matches the Rfam family "5.8S ribosomal RNA", at positions 86 to 154 of the family's 154-position model. From Rfam's summary of the family: 5.8S ribosomal RNA (5.8S rRNA) is a component of the large subunit of the eukaryotic ribosome. The record is from RNAcentral. Lineage: Eukaryota; Eustigmatophyceae; Eustigmatales; Monodopsidaceae.
GAGUCAUCAAACCUUUGAACGCACCUUGCGCUUUCGGGAUAUGCCCGUUAGCAUGUUUGUUGGAGUGUCU